This 28-nucleotide small RNA is filed under the name Bombyx mori (domestic silkworm). RNAcentral describes it as "ovarian small RNA-16613". The record is from RNAcentral. Lineage: Eukaryota; Metazoa; Arthropoda; Insecta; Lepidoptera; Bombycidae.
GCCAUAACACGACACUGGUAGAUAUUGC